This 603-nucleotide ribosomal RNA is filed under the name uncultured Actinomycetes bacterium. Its description in RNAcentral is "bacterial SSU rRNA". It matches the Rfam family "Bacterial small subunit ribosomal RNA", at positions 252 to 866 of the family's 1533-position model. Lineage: Bacteria; Bacillati; Actinomycetota; Actinomycetes. The record is from RNAcentral.
GUGAGGUAAUGGCUCACCAAGGCAUUGACGGGUAGCCGGCCUGAGAGGGUGACCGGCCACACUGGGACUGAGACACGGCCCAGACUCCUACGGGAGGCAGCAGUGGGGAAUAUUGGACAAUGGGCGAAAGCCUGAUCCAGCAACGCCGCGUGAGGGAUGACGGCCUUCGGGUUGUAAACCUCUUUCAGCAGGGACGAAGCGAAAGUGACGGUACCUGCAGAAGAAGGACCGGCCAACUACGUGCCAGCAGCCGCGGUAAUACGUAGGGUCCGAGCGUUGUCCGGAAUUAUUGGGCGUAAAGGGCUCGUAGGCGGUUUGUCGCGUCGGGAGUGAAAACUCAGGGCUCAACCCUGAGCGUGCUUCCGAUACGGGCAGACUAGAGGUAUGCAGGGGAGAACGGAAUUCCUGGUGUAGCGGUGGAAUGCGCAGAUAUCAGGAGGAACACCGGUGGCGAAGGCGGUUCUCUGGGCAUUACCUGACGCUGAGGAGCGAAAGCAUGGGGAGCGAACAGGAUUAGAUACCCUGGUAGUCCAUGCCGUAAACGUUGGGCGCUAGGUGUGGGGACCUUCCACGGUCUCCGUGCCGCAGCUAACGCAUUAAGCG